AACCACACUAUCAAUGAAUGGAUUCACCCGCGAGAUGACGUGGUUGUUUCACCUAGGACGAGAACAUGGCAUCCUGUUACUAGCCAUCGCACGAAAUUAAUAGGAUGCUAAGUCCUCAUUCUAGAUGGAACAACCACAUCAUCUCAUGGGUGAAUCCAUUUAUCGAUAGUGUGGUU
Non-coding RNA from Oryza meridionalis, 176 nucleotides. Lineage: Eukaryota; Viridiplantae; Streptophyta; Magnoliopsida; Poales; Poaceae. The record is from Rfam.